GGCCGCGGGAAUUAGAUUCAGGCCUAUCGCAUGCAAGUCGAGGGGCAACAAUAUUUUAGCCUGCUAAAAUAGUUGGCGACCGGAGCACGGGUGAGUACCACGUAUGCAACUUACCUCCUACAGGGGGAUAGCCCGUUGAAAAACGGAUUAAUACCGCAUAAUUCAGGGAUUCCGCAUGGAAAUAUUUGUUAAAGAGAUAUCGGUAGUAGAUGGGCAUGCGUUUCAUUAGCUAGUUGGCGAGGUAAUAGCUCACCAAGGCACCCACUGAAUAGGGGAACUGAGAGGUUUAUCCCCCACACUGGUACUGAGACACGGACCAGACUCCUACGGGAGGCAGCAGUGAGGAAUAUUGGUCAAUGGACGCAAGUCUGAUCCAAGCAAGUCGCGUGAAGGAU
RNAcentral lists this ribosomal RNA (395 nucleotides) under uncultured bacterium. Its description in RNAcentral is "bacterial SSU rRNA". It matches the Rfam family "Bacterial small subunit ribosomal RNA", at positions 37 to 409 of the family's 1533-position model. The record is from RNAcentral.